This 740-nucleotide ribosomal RNA is filed under the name Clostridium sp. 50. RNAcentral's name for it is "bacterial SSU rRNA". It matches the Rfam family "Bacterial small subunit ribosomal RNA", at positions 755 to 1479 of the family's 1533-position model. Lineage: Bacteria; Bacillati; Bacillota; Clostridia; Eubacteriales; Clostridiaceae. The record is from RNAcentral.
GCGGUGGGGAAGCAAACCAGGAUUNAGAUACCCCUUGGUUAGUCCCACCCCCGGUAAACGAUGAGUACUUAGGUGUCGGGGGGGUUUACCCCCCCUCGGGUGCCGGCAAGCUAACGCCAUUAAGUACUCCCGCNUGGAAAGUACGCUCGCAAGAGUGAAACUCAAAAGGAAUUGACGGGGACCCGCACAAGUAGCGGAAGCAUGUGGUUUAAUUCGAAGCAACGCGAAGACCCUUACCUAAGCUUGACAUCCCACUGACCUCUCCCUAAUCGGAGAUUUCCCUUCGGGGACAGUGGUGACAGGUGGUGCAUGGUUGUCGUCAGCUCGUGUCGUGAGAUGUUGGGUUAAGUCCCGCAACGAGCGCAACCCUUGCCUUUAGUUGCCAGCAUUAAGUUGGGCACUCUAGAGGGACUGCCGAGGAUAACUCGGAGGAAGGUGGGGAUGACGUCAAAUCAUCAUGCCCCUUAUGCUUAGGGCUACACACGUGCUACAAUGGGUGGUACAGAGGGUUGCCAAGCCGCGAGGUGGAGCUAAUCCCUUAAAGCCAUUCUCAGUUCGGAUUGUAGGCUGAAACUCGCCUACAUGAAGCUGGAGUUACUAGUAAUCGCAGAUCAGAAUGCUGCGGUGAAUGCGUUCCCGGGUCUUGUACACACCGCCCGUCACACCAUGGAAGUUGGGGGCGCCCGAAGCCGGUUAGCUAACCUUUUAGGAAGCGGCCGUNGAAGGUAAGCCAAUAAAGG